Molecule: ribosomal RNA, 494 nt
Filed under: uncultured bacterium
Lineage: Bacteria
Description: partial 16S ribosomal RNA
Rfam family: Bacterial small subunit ribosomal RNA
Source: RNAcentral
GACGAACGCUGGCGGCGUGCUUAACACAUGCAAGUCGAACGGAAAGGCCUGCUUUCCCUUGUGGAUUGCGGGUACUCGAGUGGCGAACGGGUGAGUAACACGUGAGUGAUCUGCCCCCAACUUGGGUAUAAGCCUGGGAAACUGGGUCUAAUUCCCGAUAGGACUGCAGGGUGGUGCCUGUGGUGGAAAACGAUUUUCUAGUGGUUGGUGAUGAGCUCGCGGCCUAUCUGCUUGUUGGUGGGGUAAUUGCCUACCAAGGCGGCGACGGGUAGCCGGCCGGAGAGGGUGGACGGCCACAUUGGGACUGAGAUACGGCCCAGACUCCUACGGGAGGCAGCAGUGGGGAAUAUUGCACAAUGGGCGGAAGCCUGAUGCAGCGACGCCGCGUGGGGGAUGACGGCCUUCGGGUUGUAAACUCCUUUCGACCGCGAGGAAGCCACCUGGUUGGAAGGGUGGUGACGGUAGUGGUAGAAGAAGCACCGGCUAACUACGUG